GAAAAAUGCAAGCGUUCCUGGAACAAGAAUGACAACAGACAUAAAAGGACCGAAUUCUUUCCAAGCUGGGGAUUCGAUAAAACGAACAGGUCCUUCAAAAAUUAAUCCUGCAACGAGCAAAAACAAAAACAUCAACGGCGUAAGAGCAAACAGAGAGGUAAAGGGGUUGGAGGUCCAAGGAUGAUCAAGCAAAAGCUUUUGGGUUAAAGCCCAACGCAAACCUGAAAGUACCGAAGACGCCAUGACAAGAAGAAAUCCGCUGAGUACAAAUUGUGUUUCCGUAGCUACCAUAAGUACAACUCCUGCAGAGAUAACAAGGGUAAUACAAAGCAAAAUCCAAUCAAACAUUUCAAUACGAAAUAUGACCGAGAAAAAAAAUACAAAAAUAAGAAUUGAUGAGCGGCACAUGGUAUAAAAAGACAGCGUGAUAGUCUCCAAUGAGGCAUUACUGAGCCCAAUAUCCAAACCAGUUACCAAAGCGCAAAUACCCGCUCGAUAAAAAUACUCUAACCAAGAAAAAUUAUCUUUUUUGUUUGGUUGAUAUCUAGGAAAUGCAAGAAUGGUUAGCUUUGCAAAUCCCAUUUGAACGAGCAUUUGACAACUGCUAAGAAACAGAGGAAAUUGGAAAUCCAUUUUUGAUUCGGAAAAAAUCCACUUGUUCAUCAUAGAAAGAAGUAAAGAAAAGAAAUACCUAAAAACAAUACCAGUUAGUAAACACAAUGACUGAAGGAGGGGAUCAUACCAAGCAAGCACAAUGAGUACUAUUAUGACUACCCUUGUGAUCCAAUGUUGAGGACGGUCAGGCUCAUUCUGUGAUACGGGAGCUACUCCUUGUUCAAUAUCCUUUACAAUAGCCUCCGGGGCCGGAGAUGGAGUGAACUCGGGCUCUCGCUCGACUUUCAAAAUCGGAUCUGUCUCCAUUUAUAAGACUAGCUAACUGUACAAUGUGGAUGAAUUAAGCUUGUUCCUCAACAUAUGCUUUAAUUUCUUUUAUGAAAGAAAGAAAACAACUUUAAGAGGUGCUAGCAUAAAACUCUACAAAGCACGCGUAUGUGUGGUAAAGGGUGGCCGUACACCAGAGGAUGCUAAUAAGUGAAAUAAUUGGAGAGAGUUAAUAAAGAGAUUUCAAAGCAAUUAAUCACAAAAAUAUUUAAGACGCUAUAUUUAAUAGAGGACAGUUGCCUUAAUAUGGAGAUACCUUCGGAAACCUAUGUCUCAGCGAAUUGCUUCAUUUCACAUGCAUCAGGUGGCUCAUUGUGGA
Non-coding RNA from Schizosaccharomyces pombe (fission yeast), 1261 nucleotides. The record is from the annotation of a GenBank genome assembly. Lineage: Eukaryota; Fungi; Ascomycota; Schizosaccharomycetes; Schizosaccharomycetales; Schizosaccharomycetaceae.